CCAACGCUGGCAGCACUGAAAAUUUAAACGGAGAAUCGAUCUACGAUACCCCCCAAUCCGACUCUAUGCGCACCGACUGACACAAUCCAUGCGCAAGAUCCGAUGCGUAUCGAAUGUCAGGAUAAAUGUCACUACGGCGAGAGAGUCAAGUAUUUAGCAAGUCAUGUGAACUAGUAAUCGUUCGAGAAGAAUCUACUCCGUGAAUUAAUAUUGAAUUAUCAACCCUUCUUUGUACCUUUCGAAACUAAAUUAGAUAGAAUUCAGUUCCUACCAUUGUUAACACAAUUCGUACCUCUCGGAUAAUCUGUGAAUCUACGGUCGCAAAUCACCACUGUUUGUUGGUAAGAUCCCGUAUCCCUGGGAAGAAUAGUUUGAACGCUGAAACCAAUCUGUUGGGGUCAAAAUACAAAGGAGACCAGUUUCUUAAAGAACUCGGCACCGAAUAACAUAGUGCGAUUCUCUUGAGACCUCCGAAAC
Aedes albopictus (Asian tiger mosquito) is the source of this 477-nucleotide long non-coding RNA. RefSeq lists it as uncharacterized. The transcript has 4 exons. The record is from RefSeq and is a predicted model, not a curated record. NCBI's taxonomy places the organism in Eukaryota, Metazoa, Arthropoda, Insecta, Diptera, Culicidae.